UACAGAGGUGGCAAGCGUUGUUCGGAAUUACUGGGCGUAAAGGGCGCGUAGGCGGCUUGGUCAGUCCCGUGUGAAAUCCCUCGGCUCAACUGAGGAACUGCACGGGAAACUGCCUGGCUUGAGUUCGGGAGAGGGAAGCGGAAUUCCGGGUGUAGCGGUGAAAUGCGUAGAUAUCCGGAGGAACACCGGUGGCGAAGGCGGGACUCUGGGCCGAUACUGACGCUGAGGAGCGAAAGCGUGGGGAGCGAACAGG
This 253-nucleotide ribosomal RNA is filed under the name uncultured bacterium. Its description in RNAcentral is "partial 16S ribosomal RNA". It matches the Rfam family "Bacterial small subunit ribosomal RNA", at positions 524 to 776 of the family's 1533-position model. The record is from RNAcentral.